Molecule: ribosomal RNA, 439 nt
Filed under: uncultured Dehalogenimonas sp.
Lineage: Bacteria; Bacillati; Chloroflexota; Dehalococcoidia; Dehalococcoidales; Dehalococcoidaceae
Description: bacterial SSU rRNA
Rfam family: Bacterial small subunit ribosomal RNA
Source: RNAcentral
CCUACGGGAGGCAGCAGCUAGGAAUCUUGGGAAUGGGCGAAAGCCUGACCCAGCAACGCCGCGUGGGCGAUGAAGGCCUUCGGGUCGUAAAGCCCUUUUGUGGGGGAAGAUGAUGACGGUACCCCACGAAUAAGCCACGGCUAACUACGUGCCAGCAGCCGCGGUAAUACGUAGGUGGCAAGCGUUGUCCGGAUUUACUGGGCGUAAAGGGCGUGCAGGCGGUCCGUUAAGUUCGAGGUGAAAGCUCCCGGCUCAACUGGGAGAGGUCCCCGGAUACUGGCGGACUUGAGGGAGGCAGAGGAAAGUGGAAUUCCCGGUGUAGUGGUGAUAUGCGUAGAUAUCGGGAGGAACACCAGUGGCGAAGGCGGCUUUCUGGGCCUUACCUGACGCUGAGACGCGAAAGCGUGGGGAGCGAACCGGAUUAGAUACCCCUGUAGUC